This 253-nucleotide ribosomal RNA is filed under the name uncultured bacterium. Its description in RNAcentral is "partial 16S ribosomal RNA". It matches the Rfam family "Bacterial small subunit ribosomal RNA", at positions 524 to 776 of the family's 1533-position model. The record is from RNAcentral.
UACGGGGGGGGUAAGCGUUGUUCGGAAUUACUGGGCGUAAAGGGUUUGUAGGUGGCUUGUUAAGUCAGACGUGAAAUCCCUCAGCUUAACUGGGGAACUGCGUCUGAUACUGGCGAGCUUGAGUGCAGGAGAGGAACGCGGAAUUCCAGGUGUAGCGGUGAAAUGCGUAGAUAUCUGGAGGAACACCGGUGGCGAAGGCGGCGUUCUGGACUGCAACUGACACUGAGAAACGAAAGCCAGGGUAGCAAACGGG